Melanotaenia boesemani (Boeseman's rainbowfish) is the source of this 145-nucleotide long non-coding RNA. RefSeq lists it as uncharacterized. The record is from RefSeq and is a predicted model, not a curated record. NCBI's taxonomy places the organism in Eukaryota, Metazoa, Chordata, Actinopteri, Atheriniformes, Melanotaeniidae. The transcript has 2 exons.
AUAUUCGCCACUGAGAGAUGUACACGGUGCUGUGUCAUAAUCUCAGGACUAUUAACCAAAGGAUCACGUGUAAAGCAGCAAGUAUUACGUAAGAUACUGGACAGAGAACGAGGAGCACUUUCAGAAAGAGCUCAAAAAGAAAGAG